Molecule: long non-coding RNA, 112 nt
Filed under: Dasypus novemcinctus (nine-banded armadillo)
Lineage: Eukaryota; Metazoa; Chordata; Mammalia; Cingulata; Dasypodidae
Description: SPRY4-IT1 conserved region 2 (ENSDNOG00000046160.1)
Rfam family: SPRY4-IT1 conserved region 2
Source: RNAcentral
CUCUCCACAGAAGGCCGCUAAGAGCCUUUGUUGAAUUUAUUUGGCUGACAAUGAAAAACAACUUCCUGAGCUGCCUUUUUGAUAACCCCUCAGCACAGCUAAAUGAUGUCUC